GGGUGGGGGGGAGAUACUCUAUGAUGAUGCAAAGAGAAUAAACCAAUUGAGUAACAACACCGUUAGAUGAGCGGGUUUUAGUAGGAGGUGAAACGGGUAAUGAAAUAAGAGGAACAACAACUCCAGAUGUGUUGAUGCCGCAAGCAUCAGUUGGUGGUGCAGUGGUGAUGCAAACCAAAGUUAUCCAGAUAAUUAUUCACUUGGGAACGAGAUCAAUACUUAUAAAAUUAGGAUUUUGUUUCUAAAUUGGUAUGGAUUCAAAUUGAAAUAUGAAAUUGGUAUGGUUUGAUCUUAAGAACAAUUUCCCCAAUUUCAAUUUCAAUUAAUACCAAUUUUGAUUUAAAAAUUUAACUCUUUAUAGGGUUUGUAGGGUAGUGGUGGUGGUGAUAACAGUAACAGGGACGAGAUGAAUUGAUGAAAACGGUUGUAAGCUAUGUGAUUUGGGAUGAAGUACACAACCAAAAGAUGUAGCCUCACCUCCUGUACAAGCUUUUUGUCCUAGCCUUCAACAGAAUCAACAAUACUAUCAAUCACGGCUAUUAUAUUCACUUGUGCAACAAAAUGAGAUACAAAGCAGCAUACCAUCCAUAUAAACUCCUUUGUCCUCUUCGCCAAGAGUAAGUUUUUGAUGUUUCCAUAAUGAACAACAGUAGCUAGCGCAUAAACCACUUUACCUUCAUUUACUUUAUAUUUAUUAUAUAUGUGGUAUAGCAUUUUGGACUUGCUUCGGAACGGUUGUUAAACAUUGCCUGCUUGUUAGGUUAUCUAGACUUACUUGGAAGAUGUACUAGAUUUGAACACAGAAAUACACAAAAUGCACCUGAGUGCAUAAUGUAUACUAUGACCAAAAAAAGUUUUGUCCUAUAUGUACCCGAAUGUACAAUGUAUAUAUUUUUUGAAUUUUUUCUUGUU
Papaver somniferum (opium poppy) is the source of this 912-nucleotide long non-coding RNA. RefSeq lists it as uncharacterized. The transcript is spliced from 2 exons. The record is from RefSeq and is a predicted model, not a curated record. NCBI's taxonomy places the organism in Eukaryota, Viridiplantae, Streptophyta, Magnoliopsida, Ranunculales, Papaveraceae.